This 58-nucleotide small RNA is filed under the name Helianthus annuus (common sunflower). Lineage: Eukaryota; Viridiplantae; Streptophyta; Magnoliopsida; Asterales; Asteraceae. The record is from RNAcentral.
CAUUGGUCAGGAGUUGUUUUUCCACUCAUGAUGAGUCCAAGGCGGGACGAAACCGGUG